AGCUUUGUGCACUAGCAGUAUUGUAGCUAAUGGGGUUUAUCUGAGUCACAAUUACUGCUAAUUGAAAUAUUCAUUUUCAAUAAUG
Mustela putorius furo (domestic ferret) is the source of this 85-nucleotide small nuclear RNA. Its record names the gene U4. It matches the Rfam family "U4 spliceosomal RNA". Rfam says of the family: U4 small nuclear RNA (U4 snRNA) is a component of the major U2-dependent spliceosome. The record is from Ensembl. Lineage: Eukaryota; Metazoa; Chordata; Mammalia; Carnivora; Mustelidae.